RNAcentral lists this ribosomal RNA (440 nucleotides) under uncultured bacterium. RNAcentral's name for it is "partial 16S ribosomal RNA". It matches the Rfam family "Bacterial small subunit ribosomal RNA", at positions 338 to 795 of the family's 1533-position model. The record is from RNAcentral.
CCUACGGGAGGCAGCAGUAGGGAAUAUUGCUCAAUGGGGGAAACCCUGAAGCAGCAACGCCGCGUGGAGGAUGACGGUUUUCUGAUUGUAAACUCCUUUUGUUAGAGAAGAUAAUUACGGUAUCUAACGACUAAUCACCGGCUAACUCCGUGCCAGCCGCCGCGGUACUACGGCGGGUGCAAGCGUUACUCGGAAUCACUGGGCGUAAAGCGCGCGUAGGCGGGAUAGCAAGUCAGAUGGGAAAUCCUAUGGCGUAACCAUAGAACUGCAUCUGAAACUGGUAUGCUAGAGUAUGGGAGAGGUAGGUGGAAUUCGUGGUGUAGGGGUAAAAUGCGUAGAGAUCAAGAGGAAUACUCAUUGCGAAGGCGACCUGCUAGAGCAUAACUGACGCUGAUGCGCGAAGGCGUGGGGAGCGAACAGGAUUAGAUACCCCUGUAGUC